RNAcentral lists this ribosomal RNA (152 nucleotides) under Trebouxia sp. P-210-Ia. RNAcentral's name for it is "5.8S ribosomal RNA". It matches the Rfam family "5.8S ribosomal RNA". From Rfam's summary of the family: 5.8S ribosomal RNA (5.8S rRNA) is a component of the large subunit of the eukaryotic ribosome. It is transcribed by RNA polymerase I as part of the 45S precursor that also contains 18S and 28S rRNA. Functionally, it is thought that 5.8S rRNA may be involved in ribosome translocation. The record is from RNAcentral. Lineage: Eukaryota; Viridiplantae; Chlorophyta; Trebouxiophyceae; Trebouxiales; Trebouxiaceae.
AACUCUCAACAACGAUAUCUUGGCUCCCGUAACGAUGAAGAACGCAGCGAAAUGCGAUACGUAGUGUGAAUUGCAGAAUUCCGUGAACCAUCGAAUCUUUGAACGCAAAUUGCGCUCGAGGCUUCGGCCAAGAGCAUGUCUGCCUCAGCGUC